AUUGCCCCAGUAACGGCGAGUGAAGCGGCAACAGCUCAAAUUUGAAAUCUGGCUUCGGCCCGAGUUGUAAUUUGUAGAGGAUGCUUUUGGCGAGGUGCCUUGUGAGUUCCCUGGAACGGGACGCCAUAGAGGGUGAGAGCCCCGUAUACUUGGACACCGAGCCUCUGUAAAGCUCCUUCGACGAGUCGAGUAGUUUGGGAAUGCUGCUCAAAAUGGGAGGUAUAUCUCUUCUAAAGCUAAAUAUUGGCCAGAGACCGAUAGCGCACAAGUAGAGUGAUCGAAAGAUGAAAAGCACUUUGAAAAGAGGGUUAAAUAGUACGUGAAAUUGUUGAAAGGGAAGCGCUUGUGACCAGACUUGUGCCGGGCUGAUCAUCCAGUGUUCUCACUGGUGCACUCUGCCCGGCUCAGGCCAGCGUCGGUUCUCGCAGGGGGACAAAAGCUUCGGGAACGUAGCUCCUCCGGGAGUGUUAUAGCCCGCUGCUCAAUACCCUUGUGGGGACCGAGGUUCGCGCUCUGCAAGGACGCUGGCAUAAUGGUCAUCAGCGGCCCGUCUUGAAACACGGACCAAGGAGUCGAGGUUUUGCGCGAGUGUUUGGGUGUAAAACCCGCACGCGUAAUGAAAGUGAACGUAGGUGAGAGCUUCGGCGCAUCAUCGACCGAUCCUGAUGUAUUCGGAUGGAUUUGAGUAAGAGCGUAUAGCCUCGGACCCGAAAGAUGGUGAACUAUGCCUGAAUAGGGUGAAGCCAGAGGAAACUCUGGUGGAGGCUCGCAGCGGUUCUGACGUGCAAAUCGAUCGUCAAAUUUGGGCAUGGGGGCGAAAGACUAAUCGAACCAUCUAGUAGCUGGUUACCGCCGAAGUUUCCCUCAGGAUAGCAGUGUUGUUCUUCAGUUUUAUGAGGUAAAGCGAAUGAUUAGGGACUCGGGGGCGCUAUUUAGCCUUCAUCCAUUCUCAAACUUUAAAUAUGUAAGAGCCCUUGUUACUUAAUUGAACGUGGGCAUUCGAAUGUACCAACACUAGUGGGCCAUUUUGGUAG
This 1034-nucleotide ribosomal RNA is filed under the name Sordariomycetes sp. Its description in RNAcentral is "LSU rRNA". It matches the Rfam family "Eukaryotic large subunit ribosomal RNA", at positions 74 to 1143 of the family's 3401-position model. Lineage: Eukaryota; Fungi; Ascomycota; Sordariomycetes. The record is from RNAcentral.